RNAcentral lists this long non-coding RNA (3502 nucleotides) under Equus caballus (horse). Its description in RNAcentral is "lncRNA (ENSECAG00000035117.3)". Lineage: Eukaryota; Metazoa; Chordata; Mammalia; Perissodactyla; Equidae. The record is from RNAcentral.
AUGUCAGAUCUGCAACACCAUUGAGAUUUUUAAAAAUGAUUAUUGGUGAAAUUAAAAAUCAUUUCCUGUAUUCUUUUGCCCUGGAACAUCUAAAAUGUCACAGUAUUUUACACAUAUGUACCAUGAAUACAUAUCUAUAGAUUCAUACUUACAUACUUAUAUAAUAUAUAUUUAUAUUUAGUAAACAGAUCUUUAAAGUAAUUGAAUUUUAUGUUUGAAGCAGUCUUGAAAGUCCACUUCCCUUUAUCAGAGAAAUAUCCUGAAAAAGACCAUAUGAUGUCACUGAAUGGGCCAGGGACCUCGCUUCUUCCAAGGAAUGUUGUGUGACUGUUGGACAAUUGACUUGUUUAUUCACUAAAUAUCAUGUCUUCACAUACAGUGGUUUCUCAAUAUGCACAAUAAGUUAACAAAUCCGAACACAUAAUUCUUAACUUUCACCCAUUAACCCCAAUAGCGCCUGUAGCGAUGCAAAGUGAGUCUUGUCCUCUGCUCCAUAAAACUCAGAGACAACUAUUUAGAGCUUCCAAGUCUUUGCUUUUUCGGUAUAAACACACCAAUAAUAGCUUUUCCCCAGGGCAAGAACUGUUUCACGAUGGAUGUUUAUCACAGUCCUAUCUCUCCUUUCUUCACAUACAGAGCACACAGUGAGGCAGCUGAAACAGACUCUGGGCUUACAUUUCCGCUGAUGAAAGCCAAGGUUUUAUCCAUCCUGUGAGUCCCAUCAGACUCUUAAGUUUCGCUGUCCUUAUGGUUAAAAUUGUUCCUGUUGUUGCAGUUCUUGCUUUUGCUUAUAGGUUUGCAUUUUUAGUUUUGGGGUUUUUUCCUCAUUAUUUACUGUUAAGCUAAGUUUUACACACCCUGUACUUUUAAAAUCAGGGAUGACAGAAAUACAGCGUGCUACCAUCAUGCCCCUACUGGCCCCUACCAACCCCUACGUAGACACUCAAUUAAUCACAGCUCUUCUUCUUGCAAGGUCCAGGUGCCAGCUCAGAACUUCCCUCCGGUCUUUUGGUGUCGACUCAUGAUACUUCAUUCAUCUCUUCAAAUCUAGACUUCAGGGUGUUCAUUCAAGCGUAUCACAUUUAACCAUGUUAGUUUGUACUGCUGCGUUAUUUGAGAUGUUUUUGAUUCCAGACUCUGCCAACUAACCUCUGAGCUAUUGUUCCCAACCAGCUCUCUGAAAAUGUGAUGAGCCUUUUUGCUUCUGUCUUCUUCCAGACUGUCCUAAUCUUCUUAGGACUAUUCUUCUGUUUUAAACACAUGAAUUUGGCAGACAAUUACUUAUCUUACAUUUCUUUCUGUUUUUAUGCUAAUAGACCUCCUUGUGGGCCUACUGGUUUUGGCCCUGUUUUCAACUAUUCCCUUGUCGACGAAAAUAAUCCAUAACCAAUCUGUAAAUGAAAAUUUGGGUGAGUUUAUUCUGAGCUGAAAUCCGAGGACCAUGGCCUGGGGCCUUUCUUCCCAAAGGAAGAAAGGGCACUGAAGAAGUGGGGUGCACAGAGUGGUUAUAUACCCCCAAACAGGGUGUUUCACAUAUGAUUGAAAUGUGCCUCCCACAAUAGUCACAAGAUUGCCCUGUCGGCACAGCGUUUGAUAGACACAGCAGGUAGUGGGUCUGCUAUCUCAGAGGGUGUAGCAGGAGGCAAGACUAUUGUCUCGAGCUGGGCGGUCACAGGUGAGCGCAGCAAUCAGUUUCUAGCCCAAGGAAAGAUGCUUAAUCCUUAAGGAGAUGCCAACAUUGGGAGGGGCAAGGAAGUUGCACCUUUAUCUCAAGGGCCUUUGUUCUUGCCAUAGGGAAUCUCUAAAGCAGAUAUACAAUGCAUGCUCAGCAGCCACGGUCAGGCCCUUUUGGAAAGACAAGGUCAGGCCGAAUUAGGUUUAUACCAAAUGGCUUCCUCAUAUUCUCCAAUAUAUCCUAUUGCUUGCCAUUUUUAUUUGUCACCCUUCUCCUAAACUUUCUUUUCUAGAAGUUUCUUCCUUUCUAUCCAUGUGAUCAUAACGUUACCACCGAAGGGGAGUCAUCUGCUUGCAGCAAGACAUGCCAAUAAGGCAAGGUGGUAGGAGAGAAAGGACUUUAUUAUAGCUUGCUAGCAAGAGGGAACAUGGCUGACAUGUCUGAAAGAACCAUCUCACAGAACAAAGACAACAGGCCAGUUAUAUACAGUCUAUAUAUAUAUAACUGUAUAUAUAUAUAACUGCCUAUAUAUAUAUAACUUAUAUAUAUAUAACUGUACCUAUAUGUACAGUUAUAUACAGCCGGUCUCCAGGUAGGGGAGGCAGCUGGUCUCUGGGUGGGGCAGACGUCUGGUCCUAGUUCUUAAUAACCCUUUGUUUACUGUAUACGCAUCAGAGAAUGAAGCAAUGCCUAUACCCUGAUCUUUCCAUUGUCAUUGAUGAUGGCUAUCAGCAUGGGCUCUCUGCCCAGGGGUCAUCACAUUCCUAAGGAACUCAAAAGAGCAAAGGUAUCAUCUUAAAGCAGCUGGGGGGGUGGGGCACAAAAUCUACAGAGCAUGUCUGGGCUAGUUAGUCAGAGGUCAAUUAAAGUUACGCUAUGGUUUCUUUUCUAUGAUGUGUCUUGCCUUAUGUCAACCUUGUGUUGAGCUGGUAUCAAUAGGUGUGGAGAUAGGCAAGGUAAUUUUUAUAAAGAGGGAACUGUUGGCAUUAGGAAAUGAUCAAUUUUUGUGUUUUUACUUUCCUGAGUAAAAAUUCAGCAUCUGUAAACUUACAGUCCUUAAAAUAGUUAUAAGGUUUCUAACUUUGAUCUUGGGUCAAUUAGCUUGUUUCUUCUAUUCUUUAUCUUUGAGGAUUAUUUACCUUAAUUGAAGAGAUAAGAGCCAAAGAAAGAAAAAUCUCUGCAGCUGAAAUCAAUUUAUUUGGUCUCCAUGAUAUUUUAGAGGAUUGAAAAGAAACUAUUUUCGCAGAAUUGCAAUGAUGUAGUUCCACGGCCCCGUGUCUGUCAACAGCACCAUUUGGAGAAAGUUUGGUUCAAAGGAAGGAAGAAUCAAAGAGACAAACAUGCAGGGCCCGUGCCUGCUGCCCUGCCGUCUUCAGCUGGUGCUGAGGUCCUUGCCGCAAAGAUGAGAGCUGGGACGUGAUGGAGACGGCAGCUCGAGAAUGGUUGACUUUCCCUGCUGGGUAAUUUUCCUUAUUGCCCCAAUUGAUGACAAAGAAUCGGAGUGCAGUGCCUAAUUCUUCACCAUAAACUACCUAAGGUGUGUGGACAAACUCGGAAAGAGCAACAUGGAGACAGUUGCUAAUGGUCUCCAUCUAUCCACAGGAUGAAAGGGAGCAGACACGUGGAAUGGUUGACAGGAAUAAAGGGAAAAAGUGCUACUUAUGUGCUAGAAACCAAAUAAAAAUUUUCCAUAUCUAUGUACUUUAUAAACUAUUUUUUAAAUCAGAAUACAGCAUAAUGAAAAAUUUAAAAGUCCAAAGCUCCACUCUAUUUCUAAUGUUUUUCACUGUAAAAAUUAUUAAGAUCCAUCCUUUUUGACAUAUUGGC